GCCUACGGGAGGCAGCAGUGGGGAAUAUUGGGCAAUGGGCGCAAGCCUGACCCAGCAACGCCGCGUGAAGGAAGAAGGCUUUCGGAUUGUAAACCUCUGUGGAGGGGGACGAUAAUGACGGUACCCCUUUAGGAAGCCACGGCUAGCUACGUGCCAGCAGCCGCGGUAAUACGUAGGUGGCGAGCGUUGUCCGGAAUUACUGGGUGUAAAGGGAGUGUAGGCGGGAAAGCAAGUCAGAAGUGAAAACUAUGGGCUUAACCCAUAGCCUGCUUUUGAAACUGUUUUUCUUGAGUGAAGGAGAGGCA
This 305-nucleotide ribosomal RNA is filed under the name uncultured bacterium. RNAcentral's name for it is "bacterial SSU rRNA". It matches the Rfam family "Bacterial small subunit ribosomal RNA", at positions 337 to 659 of the family's 1533-position model. The record is from RNAcentral.